This 252-nucleotide ribosomal RNA is filed under the name uncultured bacterium. Its description in RNAcentral is "partial 16S ribosomal RNA". It matches the Rfam family "Bacterial small subunit ribosomal RNA", at positions 524 to 776 of the family's 1533-position model. The record is from RNAcentral.
UACGAAGGGGGCUAGCGUUGCUCGGAAUCACUGGGCGUAAAGGGUGCGUAGGCGGGUCUUAAGUCAGGGGUGAAAUCCUGGAGCUCAACUCCAGAACUGCCUUUGAUACUGAAGAUCUUGAGUUCGGGAGAGGUGAGUGGAACUGCGAGUGUAGAGGUGAAAUUCGUAGAUAUUCGCAAGAACACCAGUGGCGAAGGCGGCUCACUGGCCCGAUACUGACGCUGAGGCACGAAAGCGUGGGGAGCAAACAGG